RNAcentral lists this ribosomal RNA (759 nucleotides) under uncultured bacterium. Its description in RNAcentral is "bacterial SSU rRNA". It matches the Rfam family "Bacterial small subunit ribosomal RNA", at positions 28 to 776 of the family's 1533-position model. The record is from RNAcentral.
GAUGAACGCUAGCUACCGGCUUAACACAUGCAAGUCGAGGGGCAGCAUGGUCUUAGCUUGCUAAGGCCGAUGGCGACCGGCGCACGGGUGAGUAACACGUAUCCAACCUGCCGUCUACUCUUGGACAGCCUUCUGAAAGGAAGAUUAAUACAAGAUGGCAUCAUGAGUCCGCAUGUUCACAUGAUUAAAGGUAUUCCGGUAGACGAUGGGGAUGCGUUCCAUUAGAUAGUAGGCGGGGUAACGGCCCACCUAGUCUUCGAUGGAUAGGGGUUCUGAGAGGAAGGUCCCCCACAUUGGAACUGAGACACGGUCCAAACUCCUACGGGAGGCAGCAGUGAGGAAUAUUGGUCAAUGGGCGAGAGCCUGAACCAGCCAAGUAGCGUGAAGGAUGACUGCCCUAUGGGUUGUAAACUUCUUUUAUAAAGGAAUAAAGUCGGGUAUGGAUACCCGUUUGCAUGUACUUUAUGAAUAAGGAUCGGCUAACUCCGUGCCAGCAGCCGCGGUAAUACGGAGGAUCCGAGCGUUAUCCGGAUUUAUUGGGUUUAAAGGGAGCGUAGAUGGAUGUUUAAGUCAGUUGUGAAAGUUUGCGGCUCAACCGUAAAAUUGCAGUUGAUACUGGAUAUCUUGAGUGCAGUUGAGGCAGGCGGAAUUCGUGGUGUAGCGGUGAAAUGCUUAGAUAUCACGAAGAACUCCGAUUGCGAAGGCAGCCUGCUAAGCUGCAACUGACACUGAGGCUCGAAGGUGCGGGUAUCAAACAGG